This 252-nucleotide ribosomal RNA is filed under the name uncultured bacterium. Its description in RNAcentral is "partial 16S ribosomal RNA". It matches the Rfam family "Bacterial small subunit ribosomal RNA", at positions 524 to 776 of the family's 1533-position model. The record is from RNAcentral.
UACGUAGGUCCCGAGCGUUAUCCGGAUUUAUUGGGCGUAAAGCGAGCGCAGGUGGUUUAUUAAGUCUGGUGUAAAAGGCAGUGGCUCAACCAUUGUAUGCAUUGGAAACUGGUAGACUUGAGUGCAGGAGAGGAGAGUGGAAUUCCAUGUGUAGCGGUGAAAUGCGUAGAUAUAUGGAGGAACACCGGUGGCGAAAGCGGCUCUCUGGCCUGUAACUGACACUGAGGCUCGAAAGCGUGGGGAGCAAACAGG